Molecule: long non-coding RNA, 6065 nt
Organism: Cygnus olor (mute swan)
Lineage: Eukaryota; Metazoa; Chordata; Aves; Anseriformes; Anatidae
Exons: 4
Source: RefSeq, a predicted model, not a curated record
UGGCCGUGGCGGCCGGGCUUAUAGCGGCUCCUCCCCGCCGGCGGAGGAGGGCCCGGGGCCGGGAGGGGCCGCGCUUCCCGUAAGGGCGGCGGGGGGAGGCGGGACGCGGCCGCGCCCGGGGCGGGGACGCGGUGGCAUGGAGACGGUCGCGGCCCCGAGAAGGGCAGUCAGCGGGUAGACGAGGCGGCCCCCGCGGCCCUAAGGGGGCGGGCAGCGGGUAGACGAGGUGGGCCCCGCGGCCCUGAGGGAGCAGGCAGCGGGUAGACGAGGCCUCCCCCACGGCCCCGAGGGGGCAGGCAGCGGGUAGACGAGGCCUCCCCCACGACCCCGACCCCGACCCCGACCCCAACCCCAUCCUCAUCCUCCAGCACAGCUCGGGGGAUUCAGCUCUGGGCCACAGUCGAGCGUGGAGCAGGCAUCGGGCAGGCCCGAAAGAUGUUUGUUUUUCAGGUUGCAGCACGCUGCCGUGAUACAGCCGGAGCCCAGCAGAGAGAAGCGGACACAAGCUUUACCGCCUGCGCCAGAAGGGGAAGGGGACUUCCAGGCCAUGUUGCGAAGUGGCAGUAAAAAAAGUGGAAAGAAAACUCCCACAGAACUGCCUUAACAUCAGAUAGAGACAACAGGCGUGAUGAGCCCUGCAAAGCCCCGUGGCACAGGGUGAUCUGGACAAGGGAGCGCCUGUGCAGCAGUCACACAGAAAGCAAGAGAGUGUCCUGUGGGUUUAGAACAAACAAAAAACAGCUUCAGCCUUCAUGAGUCAGAGCCCGGAAAAACACCUUGCUUUGGAGACUGCCUGGAUUUCAGUGGGAUUUUGCCUUCAGAAAAGCUGGGAUGAGUUUCACAGAAGCUAGCAUCACUUACAGUGUGCAAACUCUACACAAUCAGAAGCCUGAUUAAAAACAACAACAACAAAAAAGUAUUUCUCUUAGUCAUAGAUGCAUCAGAUGUAAAACAGUCAUUUGAUUCAGUAGAUACACCAACCUUCAGAAUGGGAGAAGUUCCAGGAUUUUCCUAAAAGGACGGGGGCUCCACAUGAAUCACCCUCGCCUUUCGACUCCUUUCACCAGUGGCACGUGCCAGGAUGUCUCAUGGUUAUUAAAGUGGCAAGCAAGGGGAGGACAUCCAGAUCUGAGGGCAAACAUUCCCUGGCUUCAAUGCUUUUCAUGAACCUUUCCCAAGCAGUUAGCACAUACUGUUACCAACAAGGUAAAAACAAUUAACCACUUAUCCCUCUGCCCUGUGCAUCCCCAAUGCCUCCCGCACUGGAAUGUAAAUGUUCAAAAAAGAAGAAAAAAAAAACCACCAUCAGACACUACCCCCACCUUCAUCCUGCCUCACCAAGCUGAAAGACGUAGAACUCCUUCCCAAAGGUGAUCAUUCUGAAACCUUCCGCCUGCAGGCAGGAAAUGCUGUGUGGGCUCCACCUUCCUGUUCUCAGAUGCAUUAUAUCACUGGAACAUGUUCAACUGAAUACUUUUCUUCGAAAUAAGGCUAUUUUGUUCCAGCCAGGGCCGGCAUUUGAUUGACUGGUAGCUGAAGGGCCAUGGUGCCCUCAGUCUUGAAUAACGCAUGGUAGGGCAGUGCCCCAGGCCAGCCCUCGCCCAGCUCUUUCCUGAAGCAAAGCAUGCUGCAGUUGGAGACCCGAAUGGCCUCGCAGUGCAUUCACAAGGUACCAAGACACCUCUUUGCAAAGCGAGGGCAUGGAUGGACCUACAUCACCAAUUGCAGCAGCACAUGGAGCAUUGCUCUGCUCAUCUACCUUUUCCAACCCCUUCUCCCCAGGUGUGGCAGCCUGCUGAACCAGGGCAGCUCGGGAGCUCUGUCUCCCAAAGCCAUGGAAGACACUCAUCAUCAGCUGGAAACACAGAGGUCAGCCCUAGGAGGAUUGCCUUUCACCUGGACAAACAGGCAGUCCUUGCUGCAAAGAAAAGGAAAAUCCAAAUGGGACAAGAAAUAGAAACUGAGGUGCAGAAGGGCAGAGUGACAAAGCCAUGGACAAACAGCUGAUGUGUACCACAGCAGGAAGAGUCAUGAUUUCACUCAGAAAUCAAAAUAUCUACUUGUAGCAGUACUUGUUGGACAGAAGAAUCGGGACAGCAGGAUGUUAGCAGUAAAUUUGUUGACACAGAAUGUACAUUUCAAAGAGUGGAUAUGAAAUUUUUGGAAAACACACAUAUAUUGGACAUAUUUUACAACAAUGAAAAUAAUUGUAAUAUUUGCUUGUUAUUGGAGUUCUUGAUUUGUUUAUUAGAUUUUUAAGACAGUAUCUUCUUUCCUUAUAAAAAUAACCUUUUAUUUCUAGCUUUACUCUGCUGCAAAGGGAAAAAGAAGAGAGCAGAAACAAAUAAUAAUACAAGCACAGAGGGCAAAAACUAUCAAUAAAGAUGAAACAGAAAGGGAAGAAAAAAUUAGAAGGAAGAAACAGCUAAGACAGAAAUACCUGCCUCACCAGUGGCAAGUGACAAUUCCCUGAGAGAAUCUGAUUCAGGCAGAGAAAAAGUGUAGACAGGACUGGAAAGCAUGACUCACCUGUCCCAGGGAAAAACAGAGGGUAGGAAGGAGUGGAAAGAACUGAGUGCAGGAUGGCGAGAAAAAAAAAAAAAAAAAGUGUCAGCGUGUCCUGGUUCUUCUGCCUUUUACUUCAGGUACUUUUGUGAUGCCUCCCACGUGUUGAGCUCCAAAUAAGCAAGUCCCACCUUGAAGCUCUUUUGGGAGAUCCUUCAGAGCAAGAUGCCCUGCUGUGGCAGAGCAGUAGUGCUUGUCACAUACCUAGUCCCCAUCAUUGCAAAAAAAACAGCGAUGGAUAUUUAGACAGAGUGAAAAGGAAGAGCCCUUUAUCAAGCUGGACCUAAAUAAAUAAAUAAGUAAAUAAAUAAAUAAAUAAACAAAACACAAAAACAAAAACCAGGCUCAUGCAGAUGUGCAGAAGACCCAAGCAUGAGGGCAGCAGGUGAAAAACACUUGUCUAUUUUCAGGGCCAGCCAGGGAAAGGAGAGAACAGCAAGAGGAGUGGCCAGACAAGAUUUUUAAUGGAUGGCUGAACUGAGGAACGCAGACAGCCAUAGCAUGGACCUGCUGUCAGAUCACACAGUCUUACACGGUUUUCCCCAUUGCAGGAAAAAGAGAUUUGAGACGGGCUGUUCUAUUCCAUUAAAGUUUACUCCUCCAGAUGCUUUUGUGAUACAGGUGGGGAAAAAAUAGAGAUUUAACAGAAAGUUUAGGGUGGGAAAAAAAAAUCAUUCUCAGAAGGGCAGUGUUAAGCCUACCUGAAAGUUAUCAACGUCUAUAUUAUCAACUGAAUUUCAUUCUAAAUUGAACUCCAAAUAAAAGAGGUUCAUCCAGUGGUGUUUGUGCCAUUCAUUUUCAAGACACAGCUGCUCAGGAAUUACAAGAAAAUGAAUGAGCAUAAGCUUUGAGACUACUACAUUGUGGCUCAUAUUUUUCAUCUGAGAGUCAUCCCAGGCUCUUUUUCAAUGCCUCAAAACCCUCAUCUGGCUCCAUGCAUUAAUGAUUCACUAAUCUGUUAAGCCCAUACCAGCUGACAGAGCUGAGAUGUGGGGCAGUUCAUAGUGUACUUUCACUUGAGUUUAGUAUGUGCUCAAUCCACAUGUGAGGCUCAUACAAAACAACUCAAACACUCUUAAUUCUCUAGCAGCCUCCCACAGACUCCCUCUGCUCCACUCCAGGCAGAGAAGUUCCUGUGCAAUUCUCCAUGACAGAACCAGAAAGCACACCAGCUUAUUUCACUCCCCCAAAAAAACAUCUAAUAUGCCCACCAGAGUCUAGCAAAACCAACAGUGAAGGAGGAUGCAGUAACCUGGACAGCAUUUUAAUCACUGCUAAGUUACUAGGGGCACUGCCAGGGCUAGGUUACUUAACGAGAGAGCUCAGACCUGGGUGACGAGCACCAGAAUUAACAUUUCAGGUGAGACUCAGGUCCAGAUUCAGGGAGAUAAUGAAACAUUUCCCUCAUUUCAAAUACAUUGGUCUUGUAUUGUAAAUAGGACAGCUAAUGCGUUGGAAAUUAUCCAAAAUCUUGCUAACUGAGGAUGCAGUGUUAAAACCACAGGACGAACACAACAAGACCCAUUUCAACUGGAUCAAAAACCCUAAGGUCUCAGCUCUUUGCCAUUCCCAGUGAGCCUCCUACUGAUCUGCCUGGCACUACAGGGCUCCAGUCUCACUCUCGGACAUGCAGGUUCCAGUCCCUUCUGUGCCAAGCACUUGUGUCAUGUGAGGCAAGUUAUUCACCUUCGCUGAGUCACGAAGCAGCACAUGACACAUGAAAGCCUGUCUGCGGACUGCUCCUUACUCUAGUUAUAAAUGUUUUGGUUUUAUUUUAAAAAGUUCCCCACCUCUGUUAUCUGCCAUGUCUACAUACACGUGAAAACCUAGUAUACGUGGCUGUGUAAACAAGCUGCAAGCAGAAAGUCUUGCAGCGAUACCUACACCUAACAAAUGAGUGCUACGGCAUUGCUAUCAGGGAGAUAUAGUAAAGAAAGAGCAGCCUGGGUGAGAAGAAUUGUUCCAUUUUGUUGCAUGUGGAGAAAUAUAUAUAUAUAUUUUAUAUAUAUAUUUUAUAUAUAUAUACACACACACACACACAUAUAUAUAUAUAUAUAUUUCAGAGUGUUAUAUCCAAGUAGUGACUCCAUCCCACACAACUAGCAUUGCCUUUGAAAACCUUCACAUUAGGGAAGUUAGGGAUUUGGUCAUCUCCUUAGACCUUUAGUCUUCUUAGACUGAAAGGACAAGACCUUUGCAUGAUGUCCGUCCUUUCCCUCCUUCCUAUCCUCUUUGCUUCCCCUCUUUCCUAUUCCUCAUUCCCACUGGCUCUCUAAGCAUGUCAAUGGCCUGAUCUCACACCACACUGAAAAGCAUCUUAAUCUUUGCAGCCCCUCUGCUUCUUUUUUUUUGGCUAAGAGAGCAGGUAGGAUACAAUGGCAGUAUGCUUUGCUUUCAGUUUCCCGAGCAAAACACAGGGGAAGCUACUUUGCCACUGCCCUGUUACCUAGUUAGUGGCUGUCAGGUGGCAUUGCCGACAGCAGGCUGGGGCUUGAACUUGCUUCUGUUUUAGAGGAACAACCUCACGUACGAGCAGCACCCUAAAUCACACCACAGGACAUGGCAUCAUACCCUGCUUCCUUCAGUGGUCAGCAUCAAACAAGAGGGAGAACAGAAAAACAGUGCAAACGCUUAGCAAUCCUGCCUCAGCAUACUCUCUUACAGUCUCCAUGAACUUGUAGGUGAGGGAUUUUUCCAAGUCAAGCAGGGCAUUACUGGCUAUGCACACAGGAAAUCAGUGCACAGGGCAAUGCACCCUGCUGACUUGUUUCACAGCUGUCAAUCCCGGUUGCAACGUAACCCCAAGGCAACUCGAGACAGCAGUCCCUCCACCACCUCCAUCCUGGCCCUCAAGCCACCCAAGCGGCUCUCAGGUCUGUGCUGUGCGGCAGCUCCUUCCCUCUCUCCUAUGACCCUGCAAGCACACCUCUUGUCCUGGCAUGGAGCAGGCAUGCAGCCAGGCACUGCAGGAUUUCUUCCAUUACUUGCAGUAAAAAUUGUUUCAAAGCUAGAGAAUCCAUGAGCACACUGCAUCUCCUCUGCUCUUCACAUUGCUUUUUUAAAAUGAAAUGGCUUAAGCAUUUUCCAUUGGCCAUCUGGCCUUUAAAAGCCCUCAAAGAAAGAAACCUCUGUUACGUACAAAGCUUUCUUACGUGUCAGGACUGCUAUGCUGACAAGAGGAAACAUCGUGUUUCAGCACUAGGUCUCAUGCCAGGCUUGUGCCACUUGCGCAGAUCAAUCCCCUCCAAAUAUACAUCAUCAGAAAAAAAAAAAAAACACAAACAUUUCAAGUGAUUUUAAUCUAUAAACCACUGUAUAAAACUUCUAACCAACAUGCAACACAAAAUGUAAUAGGUAAAACUAAGGGAAAUAUGACACACUUCUAGAGCAGCUAUAAAAACAGAAAGGAAAGUUAAUGUGGGGUUUGGGCAAACAAGAUAAACUGAUGCUAAAUCAGAUAAAACAAUUUUAGUGCACAAACUUGCCGUCUUUACUAGGAA